This is a long non-coding RNA of Camelus dromedarius (Arabian camel), 1691 nucleotides long. RefSeq lists it as uncharacterized. The transcript has 4 exons. The record is from RefSeq and is a predicted model, not a curated record. Lineage: Eukaryota; Metazoa; Chordata; Mammalia; Artiodactyla; Camelidae.
CCAAGCUGGGAUUGAGCUCACGUCACUUCCGGGAGGAAGCGCCGGCCUCCGGCUCGGGCUCCGGGGUGGGCUCGCGCCCCUCCUGGCCCGGCUUUUGGAACUUCCCACCUUCUGUGCGAUUUCUGGACGGGACGGUGGCUAGUGCUUCAUGUUUACCCUCAUGGUACGGGAAGCUUAGGAAUGGCGGGCUCCAGGUGCCCCGAUUGAUAGGGCACAUUAACGUUUCUUUUCAUCCGAGAUGCUUGCGCUAGAAGCAAGGACGCAAAGAUGAAAAACCUGGAGAAUUUGCACCCCCACCCCACCCCGCCUGGAGCCCCUGGGGCUAGGACACUGGGUAGCACCGGGGAGAGCACAAACCCAGCCCGACCUGCCUUCCAGCCUCAUCCUUCUACCAUGAUGGCCAAAUGGGGAAGACUGGCUAGCUAUGAUCCUCCACCAUCCUGUCUGCUCCCCUGCUCCUUCCCGGUCAUGGUACCAUGAGUGUCCAUAGUUACAAACUGAGAACACCGGUGAACAUGACGGUGGUGGGGAUGCUGACCAGAGUAAUGCUGUCUGCAUACCAGCUUUACUGAGUCAGAAUCAACAUAUAAUAAUUGCACAUAUUUAAAGUUCACAAUUUUGUAAGUUUUCAACAUACCUAUGAAACCAUUGUCACAAUCAAGAUGGAAUAUAUCUGUCACUGGACGUUUCUUUGUGUCCCUUUGUGCCUCUCUUUUCCAUCUUUUCUCGCCUCCUCCCCUCCUUGCUUCUGGCAACCACUGAUCUGCUUUCUGUCACUAGAGGUUGGUUUGCAUUUUCUAAAAUUUUAUAUAAAUGAAAUCAUACAACAUAUGUUCCUUUUUGUCUAGCUCUUUUCACUUAGCAUAAGUAUUUUGAGAUUCAUCCAUAUUGCUGUGUGUAUCAAUGGUUCAUUCCUUUUCAUUGCCAAGUAAUACUUCAUUGUAUGACUAGACCACCAUGUGCUUCUCCAGUCUGCUGCUGGUGGGCAUGUGAGUUGUUUCCAGUUUGGGCUUAUUAAAAACAAAGUUGCUAUGAACAUUUUUAUACCAGUGUUUUAUGGGCUUGUUCCAUCUUUCCUUUUUAGUAAGUAUCUUGGAGGGUGGUAGUAAUAUGUUUAAAUUGAAAAAACAAAAAAACAAAAAAACAAAAAAACAACGGCCAGACAGUUUUCCAAAAUGGUUGAACCUUGAAAGUUUCAGUUCUGCAUCCUUGCUAACACUUAUAUGACCAUCUUUUUAAUUUUAGCCAUUCCAAUAGAUACAUCAUGGUAUCUCAUUAAGGUUUUAAAUUUGCAUUUCCCUAAUGACUAAUUAUGUUGAGCAUCUUUUAGUAUGCUUAUUUUCCAUCUGCCUAUUUUUUGUUGUUGUUGAAGUGUCCAAAUCUUCAGCCCAUUUUAAAAAGUAGUUGUUCAGAAAUAGUCACUGACAUAGAAAACAAACUAUGGUUACUGGUGGGGAGGGAAGGGAAGGAAUAGAUUUAGAAGUUUGGGAUUAACAGAUAUACACUACUAUAUAUAAAAUAGAUAACAACCAGGAUUUACUGUAUAGCAUGGGGAACUAUAUUCAAUUUCUUGUAAUGGAAUGUAAUGGUAAAGAAACUGAAAAAAAAAAGUAUAUAUGUAUGUAUACUGAAUCGCUUUGUUUUAUAUCUGAAACUAACAUUGUAAAUCGACUAUACUUCAAUAAAAAAUA